UACGGAGGGUGCAAGCGUUAUCCGGAUUCACUGGGUUUAAAGGGUGUGUAGGCGGGUACUUAAGUCAGUGGUGAAAUCUCCAGGCUCAACCUGGAAACUGCCAUUGAUACUAUUUAUCUUGGAUAUCGUUGAGGUAGGCGGAAUAUGUCAUGUAGCGGUGAAAUGCUUAGAGAUGACAUAGAACACCAAUUGCGAAGGCAGCUCUCUGGGACGGUACUGACGCUGAGACGCGAAAGCGUGGGGAGCGAACAGG
This 253-nucleotide ribosomal RNA is filed under the name uncultured bacterium. RNAcentral's name for it is "partial 16S ribosomal RNA". It matches the Rfam family "Bacterial small subunit ribosomal RNA", at positions 524 to 776 of the family's 1533-position model. The record is from RNAcentral.